CGCCGCGUGAGUGAUGAAGGUUUUCGGAUCGUAAAACUCUGUUGUUAGGGAAGAACAAGUACCGGAGUAACUGCCGGUACCUUGACGGUACCUAACCAGAAAGCCACGGCUAACUACGUGCCAGCAGCCGCGGUAAUACGUAGGUGGCAAGCGUUGUCCGGAAUUAUUGGGCGUAAAGCGCGCGCAGGCGGUUCCUUAAGUCUGAUGUGAAAGCCCCCGGCUCAACCGGGGAGGGUCAUUGGAAACUGGGGAACUUGAGUGCAGAAGAGAAGAGUGGAAUUCCACGUGUAGCGGUGAAAUGCGUAGAGAUGUGGAGGAACACCAGUGGCGAAGGCGACUCUUUGGUCUGUAACUGACGCUGAGGCGCGAAAGCGUGGGGAGCAAACAGGAUUAGAUACCCUGGUAGUCCACGCCGUAAACGAUGAGUGCUAAGUGUUAGAGGGUUUCCGCCCUUUAGUGCUGCAGCAAACGCAUUAAGCACUCCGCCUGGGGAGUACGGCCGCAAGGCUGAAACUCAAAGGAAUUGACGGGGG
Molecule: ribosomal RNA, 533 nt
Filed under: Cytobacillus firmus
Lineage: Bacteria; Bacillati; Bacillota; Bacilli; Caryophanales; Bacillaceae
Description: bacterial SSU rRNA
Rfam family: Bacterial small subunit ribosomal RNA
Source: RNAcentral